AGAGGCCCAAGUUGACAAAUGCCGGCGUAAAAUGUGGUUGGCGCCUUUACACACUAAAGCUAAACAUCUUCAGAGCUGUUAUACUCACAUGAAGACAGGAAGUACUUCCACGAAAGUGGCUUUAAACAAUGUUAAUCCACGAAAGCUAGGGGACAAACUGGGAUUAGAUACCCCACUAUGCCUAGCCUUAAACACAAGUGAUGCAUUUACACCUUUCGCUUGCCAGGGUACUACGAGCCCCA
RNAcentral lists this ribosomal RNA (242 nucleotides) under Eucyclogobius newberryi (tidewater goby). RNAcentral's name for it is "partial 12S ribosomal RNA". Lineage: Eukaryota; Metazoa; Chordata; Actinopteri; Gobiiformes; Gobiidae. The record is from RNAcentral.